RNAcentral lists this ribosomal RNA (260 nucleotides) under uncultured bacterium. RNAcentral's name for it is "partial 16S ribosomal RNA". It matches the Rfam family "Bacterial small subunit ribosomal RNA", at positions 524 to 776 of the family's 1533-position model. The record is from RNAcentral.
UACGGGGGGGGGCAAGCGUUGUUCGGAAUUACUGGGCGUAAAGGGCGCGUAGGCGGUUUGCUAAGUUGGAUGUGAAAACUCUGGGCUUAACCCAGAGCCUGCAUCCAAAACUGGCAAACUUGAGUACUGGAGGGGAAAGCGGAAUUCCUGGUGUAGCGGUGAAAUGCGUAGAUAUCAGGAGGAACACCGGGUGGCGGAAGGCUGGCUUUCUGGACAGUAACUGACGCUGGAGGCGACGAAAGGCUAGGGGAGCAAACAGG